This 449-nucleotide ribosomal RNA is filed under the name Streptomyces fungicidicus. RNAcentral's name for it is "bacterial SSU rRNA". It matches the Rfam family "Bacterial small subunit ribosomal RNA", at positions 162 to 626 of the family's 1533-position model. Lineage: Bacteria; Bacillati; Actinomycetota; Actinomycetes; Kitasatosporales; Streptomycetaceae. The record is from RNAcentral.
UCUAAUACCGGAUACUGAUCCUCGCAGGCAUCUGCGAGGUUCGAAAGCUCCGGCGGUGCAGGAUGAGCCCGCGGCCUAUCAGCUAGUUGGUGAGGUAACGGCUCACCAAGGCGACGACGGGUAGCCGGCCUGAGAGGGCGACCGGCCACACUGGGACUGAGACACGGCCCAGACUCCUACGGGAGGCAGCAGUGGGGAAUAUUGCACAAUGGGCGAAAGCCUAUGCAGCGACGCCGCGUGAGGGAUGACGGCCUUCGGGUUGUAAACCUCUUUCAGCAGGGAAGAAGCGAAAGUGACGGUACCUGCAGAAGAAGCGCCGGUAACUACGUGCCAGCAGCCGCGGUAAUACGUAGGGCGCAAGCGUUGUCCGGAAUUAUUGGGCGUAAAGAGCUCGUAGGCGGCUUGUCACGUCGGUUGUGAAAGCCCGGGGCUUAACCCCGGGUCUGCAG